GAUGAACGCUGGCGGCGUGCCUAAUACAUGCAAGUCGAGCGAACGGACGAGAAGCUUGCUUCUCUGAUGUUAGCGGCGGACGGGUGAGUAACACGUGGAUAACCUACCUAUAAGACUGGGAUAACUUCGGGAAACCGGAGCUAAUACCGGAUAAUAUUUUGAACCGCAGGGUUCAAAAGUGAAAGACGGUCUUGCUGUCACUUAUAGAUGGAUCCGCGCUGCAUUAGCUAGUUGGUAAGGUAACGGCUUACCAAGGCAACGAUGCAUAGCCGACCUGAGAGGGUGAUCGGCCACAUUGGAACUGAGACACGGUCCAGACUCCUACGGGAGGCAGCAGUAGGGAAUCUUCCGCAAUGGGCGAAAGCCUGACGGAGCAACGCCGCGUGAGUGAUGAAGGUCUUCGGAUCGUAAAACUCUGUUAUUAGGGAAGAACAUAUGUGUAAGUAACUGUGCACAUCUUGACGGUACCUAAUCAGAAAGCCACGGCUAACUACGUG
This 497-nucleotide ribosomal RNA is filed under the name uncultured bacterium. Its description in RNAcentral is "partial 16S ribosomal RNA". It matches the Rfam family "Bacterial small subunit ribosomal RNA", at positions 28 to 507 of the family's 1533-position model. The record is from RNAcentral.